Molecule: ribosomal RNA, 301 nt
Filed under: uncultured bacterium
Lineage: Bacteria
Description: partial 16S ribosomal RNA
Rfam family: Bacterial small subunit ribosomal RNA
Source: RNAcentral
CAGCAGCCACGGGAAUACGUAGGGUGCGAGCGUUAAUCGGAAUUACUGGGCGUAAAGCGUGCGCAGGCGGUUGUGUAAGACAGGUGUGAAAUCCCCGGGCUUAACCUGGGAACUGCGCUUGUGACUGCACAGCUAGAGUAUGGCAGAGGGGGGUGGAAUUCCACGUGUAGCAAUGAAAUGCGUAGAGAUGUGGAGGAACACCGAUGGCGAAGGCAGCCCCCUGGGCCAAUACUGACGCUCAUGCACGAAAGCGUGGAGAGCAAACAGGAUUAGAUACCCCCGUAGUCCCUGUCUCUUAUAC